GACACACAUUCAUCACCAGUGGAGAUAUGAGCAGCUGCAGAUUUCCUUCCCUUGUUGUAAUUUAUGUUUUGAGGAAACCCAUGGAUCUUGUAGCACUUUUCAAUUAAGUGCCCAGAUUUCUUGCAGUAUCUGCAAACUAAGGACCCUCUGCUUUGCUCAAAAUUAAUUCUUGGUCUGAAAAUAGGAGGUCUAGGCACUGUGGCCUGAUUAGACCCAAGUGAGUGCUUGUUUGCAUGAGCAUUAAAAGACAUAGAGUCUGGACUGAUUUGAGAAAUAGAUUGAACUUGUCUCUGUUUCUCAUCAUUAAGCACUAU
This 314-nucleotide long non-coding RNA is filed under the name Nicotiana benthamiana. RNAcentral's name for it is "long non-coding RNA (NBEN_LNC026144)". Lineage: Eukaryota; Viridiplantae; Streptophyta; Magnoliopsida; Solanales; Solanaceae. The record is from RNAcentral.